GGAAAAUACAUUAAAAUCUCUUGUCUUGAGAUGCACUGCUGUGUCUGCUGACUUCUGAAAGCAAUCAAAUUUGACUACAUUUUUUUGAGCUUCACAGAGGUGAAGUGCUAAGGGUAACUUGAGUCCAUACAUUAAUAUUGAGUAUAGAAGGGACAUCGGUGUCCAGGGACUACAGUUCCCAUCUGUCUCACAGCAGGCACCACCAGAACUGUUCUUGGCUGGACCCAGAGCUGUUUUCUCUGUCUGGUGAAAGUGACAUAUCUUUGCUUCCAGGGCAAAGAGAGGACCUGGAUUGUACCAGAAGAAACAUAGUGCUGUAGGUGUCUUCACAGAGGCUGAGAGAGGGUCCUGCCUCAAGAACCAAGCUUUCCUCCCAUUCCAUUGAUGCUCUCUUCAACCCUCUACUUAAGCAGAGAGUGGCCAGCUGGCACUGGUGACAGGACUGCUGCUCCUUGCAGAGCAGAGCAGUGCUGCAAUGGAUUUGCGGGGCUGCAGGGAAGGGGCCUCCCCUGUGCCAUAGUGGUGGUGGGCAGAUCACUUUCACUCCUUGCUACCAGCCUGAUGUAGGACCAGCCCAAAGUUUCUCCUUCAAGGGAAAGAUCCCUAUAAGUUAAGUUUUCUUUAAAAUGUAUGUUUUAACUAAACACAUGUGCUUUCAAUUUUUAUAAAAAUGUAUUGGCAUAUUUAUUCUAUUUUACUUGCUUCAUGGCUCUCUUCAAGGCAAAGCUUUCUUUUUCCAGCAGAAGAAAAGCUGCUCAUAUCAUCAUCUGCUUUAUGCUUGAGCCGUUUACUUUUUUUUUUUUUUUUUUAAUCUUGUCUCACUGUCUCUUUGAGGGUGUGUGCAAAUUUCAU
RNAcentral lists this long non-coding RNA (852 nucleotides) under Anas platyrhynchos platyrhynchos (common mallard). RNAcentral's name for it is "lncRNA (ENSAPLG00000031002.1)". Lineage: Eukaryota; Metazoa; Chordata; Aves; Anseriformes; Anatidae. The record is from RNAcentral.